UGGAAGCGUCUGGAAAGGCGCGCGAUACAGGGUGACAGCCCCGUACACAAAAAUGCACAUGCUGUGAGCUCGAUGAGUAGGGCGGGACACGUGGUAUCCUGUCUGAAUAUGGGGGGACCAUCCUCCAAGGCUAAAUACUCCUGACUGACCGAUAGUGAACCAGUACCGUGAGGGAAAGGCGAAAAGAACCCCGGCGAGGGGAGUGAAAAAGAACCUGAAACCGUGUACGUACAAGCAGUGGGAGCACGCUUAGGCGUGUGACUGCGUACCUUUUGUAUAAUGGGUCAGCGACUUAUAUUCUGUAGCAAGGUUAACCGAAUAGGGGAGCCGAAGGGAAACCGAGUCUUAACUGGGCGUUAAGUUGCAGGGUAUAGACCCGAAACCCGGUGAUCUAGCCAUGGGCAGGUUGAAGGUUGGGUAACACUAACUGGAGGACCGAACCGACUAAUGUUGAAAAAUUAGCGGAUGACUUGUGGCUGGGGGUGAAAGGCCAAUCAAACCGGGAGAUAGCUGGUUCUCCCCGAAAGCUAUUUAGGUAGCGCCUCGUGAAUUCAUCUCCGGGGGUAGAGCACUGUUUCGGCAAGGGGGUCAUCCCGACUUACCAACCCGAUGCAAACUGCGAAUACCGGAGAAUGUUAUCACGGGAGACACACGGCGGGUGCUAACGUCCGUCGUGAAGAGGGAAACAACCCAGACCGCCAGCUAAGGUCCCAAAGUCAUGGUUAAGUGGGAAACGAUGUGGGAAGGCCCAGACAGCCAGGAUGUUGGCUUAGAAGCAGCCAUCAUUUAAAGAAAGCGUAAUAGCUCACUGGUCGAGUCGGCCUGCGCGGAAGAUGUAACGGGGCUAAACCAUGCACCGAAGCUGCGGCAGCGACACU
Molecule: ribosomal RNA, 878 nt
Filed under: Escherichia coli
Lineage: Bacteria; Pseudomonadati; Pseudomonadota; Gammaproteobacteria; Enterobacterales; Enterobacteriaceae
Description: partial 23S ribosomal RNA
Rfam family: Bacterial large subunit ribosomal RNA
Source: RNAcentral